GCUUCUGUAGCAGAAUCGGUACAUGCAUCUGUUUCAAAAACAGAAGUCUGAAGGUUCGACUCUUUCCAGAAGCACCA
Molecule: transfer RNA, 77 nt
Filed under: Candidatus Obscuribacterales bacterium
Lineage: Bacteria; Bacillati; Candidatus Melainabacteria; Candidatus Obscuribacterales
Description: tRNA-Leu
Rfam family: tRNA
About the family: Transfer RNA (tRNA) molecules are approximately 80 nucleotides in length. Their secondary structure includes four short double-helical elements and three loops (D, anti-codon, and T loops). Further hydrogen bonds mediate the characteristic L-shaped molecular structure. tRNAs have two regions of fundamental functional importance: the anti-codon, which is responsible for specific mRNA codon recognition, and the 3' end, to which the tRNAs corresponding amino acid is attached (by aminoacyl-tRNA synthetases). tRNAs cope with the degeneracy of the genetic code in two manners: having more than one tRNA (with a specific anti-codon) for a particular amino acid; and 'wobble' base-pairing, i.e. permitting non-standard base-pairing at the 3rd anti-codon position.
Source: RNAcentral